GAUGAACGCUGGCGGCGUGCCUAAUACAUGCAAGUCGAGCGAACGGACGAGAAGCUUGCUUCUCUGAUGUUAGCGGCGGACGGGUGAGUAACACGUGGAUAACCUACCUAUAAGACUGGGAUAACUUCGGGAAACCGGAGCUAAUACCGGAUGAUAUUUUGAACCGCAUGGUUCAAAAGUGAAAGACGGUCUUGCUGUCACUUAUAGAUGGAUCCGCGCUGCAUUAGCUAGUUGGUAAGGUAACGGCUUACCAAGGCAACGAUGCAUAGCCGACCUGAGAGGGUGAUCGGCCACACUGAAACUGAGACACGGUCCAGACUCCUACGGGAGGAAGCAGUAGGGAAUCUUCCGCAAUGGGCGAAAGCCUGACGGAGAAACGCCGCGUGAGUGAUGAAGGUCUUCGGAUCGUAAAACUCUGUUAUUGGGGAAGAACAUAUGUGUAAGUAACUGUGCACACCUGGACGGUACCUAUCCAGAAAGCAACGGCUAACUACGU
RNAcentral lists this ribosomal RNA (496 nucleotides) under uncultured bacterium. Its description in RNAcentral is "partial 16S ribosomal RNA". It matches the Rfam family "Bacterial small subunit ribosomal RNA", at positions 28 to 506 of the family's 1533-position model. The record is from RNAcentral.